CAGCCGCCGCGGGAAAACGGAGGGUGCGAGCGUUAAUCGGAAUUACUGGGCGUAAAGAGUGCGUAGGUGGUUAAUUAAGUUAUCUGUGAAAUUCCUGGGCUUAACCUGGGCAGGUCAGAUAAUACUGGUUAACUCGAGUAUGGGAGAGGGUAGUGGAAUUUCUGGUGUAGCGGUGAAAUGCGUAGAGAUCGGAAGGAACACCAGUGGCGAAGGCGGCUACCUGGCCCAAUACUGACACUGAGGCACGAAAGCGUGGGGAGCAAACAGGAUUAGAUACCCCCGUAGUCCCUGUCUCUUAUAC
RNAcentral lists this ribosomal RNA (301 nucleotides) under uncultured bacterium. RNAcentral describes it as "partial 16S ribosomal RNA". It matches the Rfam family "Bacterial small subunit ribosomal RNA", at positions 509 to 807 of the family's 1533-position model. The record is from RNAcentral.